Molecule: ribosomal RNA, 595 nt
Filed under: uncultured bacterium
Lineage: Bacteria
Description: bacterial SSU rRNA
Rfam family: Bacterial small subunit ribosomal RNA
Source: RNAcentral
AGUCGAGCGGGGAUUAUCGAAUGAAGUCUUCGGAUGAAUUUUGGUAAUUCUAGCGGCGGACGGGUGAGUAACGCGUGAGCAACCUGCCUUUCACAGGGGGAUAACGCAUCGAAAGGUGCACUAAUACCGCAUGAGACCACGCUCCCGACAUGAGAGAGGGGUCAAAGGAGCAAUCCGGUGAGAGAUGGGCUCGCGUCUGAUUAGCUAGUUGGUGAGGUAACGGCCCACCAAGGCGACGAUCAGUAGCCGACCUGAGAGGGUGAUCGGCCACAUUGGAACUGAGAGACGGUCCAAACUCCUACGGGAGGCAGCAGUGGGGAAUAUUGGGCAAUGGGGGAAACCCUGACCCAGCAACGCCGCGUGAAGGAAGAAGGUUUUCGGAUCGUAAACUUCUAUCCUUGGUGAAAAUAGUGAUGGUAGCCAAGAAGGAAGCCCCGGCUAACUACGUGCCAGCAGCCGCGGUAAUACGUAGGGGGCAAGCGUUGUCCGGAAUGAUUGGGCGUAAAGGGCGCGUAGGCGGCCUGGUAAGUUUGAAGUGAAAGUCCUUCUUUUAAGGAGGGAACUGCUUUGAAAACUGUCGGGCUUGAGUGCAGGA